GAACGCUAGCGGCAGGCUUAACACAUGCAAGUCGAGGGGCAGCAUGAGACGGAGAUUCGUCAAAGUCUUGAUGGCGACCGGCGCAAGGGUGCGUAACGCGUGAGCAACUUGCCCUUAUCAGGGGGAUAACCGUUGGAAACGACGACUAAUACCCCAUAGUAUCAAUUUUAGGCAUCUUUAAUUGAUUAAAGAAUUUCGGAUAAGGAUAGGCUCGCGUGACAUUAGCUAGAUGGCGGGGUAACGCCCACCAUGGCGACGAUGUCUAGGGGUUCUGAGAGGAAGGUCCCCCACACUGGAACUGAGACACGGUCCAGACUCCUACGGGAGGCAGCAGUGAGGAAUAUUGGUCAAUGGUCUAACGACUGAACCAGCCAUGCCGCGUGAAGGUCACGGCCCUAUGGGUCUUAAACUUCUUUUGUAAGGGAGCAAUAAGUAUCACGUGUGGUAUGAUGAGAGUACCUUACGAAUAAGCAUCGGCUAACUCCGUG
RNAcentral lists this ribosomal RNA (488 nucleotides) under uncultured bacterium. Its description in RNAcentral is "bacterial SSU rRNA". It matches the Rfam family "Bacterial small subunit ribosomal RNA", at positions 31 to 507 of the family's 1533-position model. The record is from RNAcentral.